UAGGGAAUCUUCCACAAUGGACGCAAGUCUGAUGGAGCAACGCCGCGUGAGUGAAGAAGGUUUUCGGAUCGUAAAGCUCUGUUGUUGGUGAAGAAGGAUAGAGGUAGUAACUGGCCUUUAUUUGACGGUAAUCAACCAGAAAGUCACGGCUAACUACGUGCCAGCAGCCGCGGUAAUACGUAGGUGGCAAGCGUUGUCCGGAUUUAUUGGGCGUAAAGCGAGCGCAGGCGGAAGAAUAAGUCUGAUGUGAAAGCCCUCGGCUUAACCGAGGAACUGCAUCGGAAACUGUUUUUCUUGAGUGCAGAAGAGGAGAGUGGAAUUCCAUGUGUAGCGGUGGAAUGCGUAGAUAUAUGGAAGAACACCAGGGGCGAAGGCGACUCUCUGGUCUGCAACUGACGCUGAGGCUCGAAAGCAUGGGUAGCGAACAGG
Molecule: ribosomal RNA, 429 nt
Filed under: bacterium
Lineage: Bacteria
Description: partial 16S ribosomal RNA
Rfam family: Bacterial small subunit ribosomal RNA
Source: RNAcentral